Molecule: ribosomal RNA, 210 nt
Filed under: Escherichia coli O157:H- str. 493-89
Lineage: Bacteria; Pseudomonadati; Pseudomonadota; Gammaproteobacteria; Enterobacterales; Enterobacteriaceae
Description: partial 23S ribosomal RNA
Rfam family: Bacterial large subunit ribosomal RNA
Source: RNAcentral
GUCAUGCCAAUGGCACUGCCCGGUAGCUAAAUGCGGAAGAGAUAAGUGCUGAAAGCAUCUAAGCACGAAACUUGCCCCGAGAUGAGUUCUCCCUGACCCUUUAAGGGUCCUGAAGGAACGUUGAAGACGACGACGUUGAUAGGCCGGGUGUGUAAGCGCAGCGAUGCGUUGAGCUAACCGGUACUAAUGAACCGUGAGGCUUAACCUUAC